RNAcentral lists this long non-coding RNA (220 nucleotides) under Lathyrus oleraceus (garden pea). RNAcentral's name for it is "Pisum sativum (pea) long non-coding RNA (PSAT_LNC027482)". Lineage: Eukaryota; Viridiplantae; Streptophyta; Magnoliopsida; Fabales; Fabaceae. The record is from RNAcentral.
UGUCUUCCUGUGGACCAUCAGCAUUCCCCACAACUUGGUCUAUCUAGUAGCAUCCCCUGUCAAGGGUCCACCAUAUCCCUAGCAGGGAAGAAAAUUAAAAAAAAAAAGAAAAACCAUGCAUCCAUGCAUAUCAUAUCAUGUCAUAUCAUGUCAUAUCAUAUCAUGUCACAUCAUGUCAUAGGGAUUCAGGAUCAAAAUCCGGGUCUUCUUAGUAUUUAAC